UGGAGGGAGGGAGAGCGAGGCUGAAUUCAACAAAAUUAGAAGCAGAAAGAGGUCAGUAAUGAUGCCAUGGUGGCCCCAUAGAAUGUCUUUCAUCAACGUGGUUUAGAGUUCUGCCUUUGCAUCUUAUCUGCAAGACCAGUAUAAUGACAAAUGGUGUGUUGCUAAGUUUCCAUUACAUAUAUUUCUAAAAGAAAAACAAUGAUAAAAAUAUCACAAGCACUUGUUGAGAUGCCAGAAAACUAAUUGGUAGUUUCCAAGUUUCAAUGUGCAUGCUAAGAAAAAGACGUGUUUGUUAUCUUCUUGGGAGUAUAUUAAUUGGGAAACUUAUCUGAAUUAACUAGAUUUUUUAAAAAAUGGAUUGUUUUCAUGUUACUGUGUGAACUGUUCCAGGUUUCACUAGUAACUUUAAAGGCUAGCAUCUCACUUUGUAACACUAUGUAUUCGUGUAGAUUUAUGUAAUGAUUUACACACAUUCACAGUAUAACAUUAAGCAAAUGUUAUGUUGCUCCUUCUUGAAUUGGAAACCAAUUUAUUCCUGUAAUAUUAUCUUAUUUUUACUUUAUAUGGAGAUAGUCUCAUUUUAGAAAAUAAUCUUGCUCAUAUACUUCUGUUACUCCAUGAAAUACUAAUUCCUUUGUCUCACCAUGGAGGAAAUGAUUAUCAUUACUGACCAUCUGUCUUAAGCUAAAGAGCGUUAGUCUUCCACAGGGGGAAGUUUUCAUGAAGGUGGAUUAGACAGUUUUGCUUUAUAUGUUUGUACUGUCAUUAUAAAAGUAAACCUUUUAUUUGCACAAUGAAUAACAAAGUCUAAAUUUUGGAAUCAUUAUUUUCUGACUGCAACAAGAAGUUUCUCUUUUUCCUGGACACUGCUCAAAAGCAUGUUAAGUAUCUCUUUGUUCUUGCUGUAUCAUAUUUCAUUAUCUAAUUUAUAUGAUAUUCUUGUCUCCUACACAUUAGUAAAAUACUUUUUUCUUUCUUUCAGUACAUUGGAUUACUUUUCUUCAGCUAACUUGAACUUACGCUCUCAUAAUGAAUGCAUAGUGUUAGUAUACUUAAUUUGUCCUUGACCUUCAGUGGCUCCCAUGGAGAGUAACAUGAAUACUAAUCCUGGCCACGUGGGCCACAGUUUGAAGGUUAUUUGCUUAUGGAAUGCAGACAGUGCAACCUCCUAGAACUCCUUCCAUGGGAUGGUUUCAAGGAGGUUUGGACAUCCUGGCUGAAAUUAUUGUAACAUUAUUCUCUACAAAGCCAUGGCAUACACCUCUGUUUCCAAAUUUGGAAAGGUGUUUGGGCCAGGCUGCAAGGCUCAACAAACAGAGCAAAUGAUGUAAUCCCAGAGGGCAAGCUGUCAAAGUUUAAACAAAGCUGGUGCCUGACCCUUAAUCUGAAAAGUCACCAUAUUAUACUUGUAUGUUUAAAUGAGAAAAUGCCUUUCCUUAAAGCCAACCAACCAACCAACAAAAACUCUUUUAUCUAUGGAGAAUACAGCAUGAAAGAGCAAGGCUAGAUGACGUGGGCAUUUUGAAAUUAGUAGCAUUUUUCUGACAUUUGCAGAAGAUAAGCAAGACCAUGAUCACAUGCAGUCACAUGCCCAGGCAUUCACCAUAUAAACUAUCAUGAAUGAACCCUAUGUGUAUUAAAUAUCUCACAUAACCUGUGAUGAAGUCUUCUUUUUGUAUGAAUGUGAUUGGCAGAUGAGGAAGUGAAUCAGCAGCAGCUCCAACACACUUUCUCCUGAAUGAUGUGAUUUUAAGUUAAAGGAAUUUUUUUUAAAAAAAAUUAGGUUCUUUUACAUCUGCAAUAAUAUUACCCUGGCGCUUUGUACUAGCAUGCUAAAAUAUUUUUGUACAAUUUACCUUUAGGUGUCAAUCAACCAUCUACUAAAAUUUCUCCAGGCUUGAUCUAUGUAUUCUAAUUACAUCACUUCUUUGUAAUGAACUUUGUUAAAAAUUAGUAUCACCACACUUUUCGAUUUGAAGACACAGCCAUUAUGAGGCAAGAUUAAUAGAUUUUGGGAAGAAAAAAUUCACUAAAUGUACCUAUUUAUUGUAGGAUAAAUCAUGGUUUUAUAAGCAUCAAAGUGUGAAGGCAUGUAUCAUCUCAUUAAGGAAAUGCAAUAAAUUAACCAAAUGCCUCAAAACAUAAUGAAUUAAUGUUAGCUAUUGUUAUUGUCUCCCAUAUUUUAUUGCUGUUGUUAUUUUGGUCACAAACACCAGUAUGUACUGCAACUGAUUACUCUGCUUGAGGAAUUCAUGAAUUUGUCUCAAUCAAACAAGGUAUUGUAUCAGCAUUUAACCGUUUGUUUACAAGUCACAUAUAUUUGAAUUUUAUAAGCUUUUGUUCUUUAUUCUUAAAUCUCAACAAUUGUCUCAAGUUCAUAUUGCUUAAAUAAUUUUAAAAGGCAAUUUAAAAGCAGCCAUAGGUAGGAGUUAUUUUAUGCUCAAGAGAGUUUGGAUAAUUACAAGAAUUUACACAUUCUACUAUCUCUGGAGCUUUUUAUUCAGUUACAAGUCUCUCGCUCUCAUUCCGAAGUAUUUAUGUGUAUUCCCCUAAAAUCCCAGGCUUGCCAUGUAAGACUGGGUUCUUUCUCUACUUUCUAGGAGUUCUUCUCUGGGAACUUCAGUUGUUUAAAUAACCAUUUUUAUGGUCUUACAAAUGCUAUUUUCCCAUGACUUACAGAUGAAUAAAAUUCUGCUUUGGUAAACUGCUCUUCUAGGUAGCUAGGGGAGAGAGCCCUGCUGUUCUGAGUCUGUGGUUUCCCUGUAUGUCAUAUUCCAAAAAGUCAAAAUCUGAUGUUUAUGUAUUCAUCAUCGCCACUUUUAAAUAGAAAAACAAUGAAAUAUGACUUACAUAUUAUAUUUUGUGUUUUGUUUGAAAAUGUUGUUUGUAAGAUGCUAUGUCUUUCAUAUACGUAUUGUUGAACUGGACACAACCAGAAAGAUCUGGAUAUUUCAUUUGCCUCCUAGCAAUAGAACCUAGUUUCUAUGGCAAAUAAGAACCACUAAACAUUUCAGUCUCAUCGAACUCAACCAAAAUCCAACCAGGCAAUUUUUUGAGAAUUUAAGGUCAGAAUCCCAACAUCUUAACUACCUUUCCCAAUCUAAAAAAAAGUGCCAGGACUGAAGCAACUUUUAAAAGAAAGGAAACUGACUGGGCGAGAUGGCUUAUUCCUGUAAUCCCAACAUUUGGGGAGGCAGAGGCAGGCAGAUCACUUGAGCUCAGGAGUUUGAGACCAGCUUGGCCAACAUGGUGAAACCCCAUCUCUACUAAAAAUACAAAAAUUAGCCGAGCACGGUGGCAAGAACCUGUAUUUCCAGCUAUUGGGUGACUGAGGCAGAACUGCUUGAACCCGGGAGGCGGAGGUUGCAAUGAGCCAAGAUGGCACCACUGCACUCCAGCCUGGGCAACAGAGCUAGACUCCAUCUAAAAAAGAAAUAAUUAAUUAAUAAAAAUAAAAGAAAGGAAACAGUAAACUUUGCUCAUGUUAUGUUUUCUAGCACUUUCUCAAAUUCAAAAAUUUAUGUGCAAUAAAUCAAAGCUUGUCAAUUGAAAAGUCAUUGCUCUUUGCAAUUACUGCUGGGUGAUCUAGAGGAAGACUUUCAUGAUAUCAUGAAGCACUGCAUUAAUAUGUGUUCCUUCGUAGUCUAAAAUGAUUGUGCAUGUCUUCCAAAUAGUCUUAACAAUUAGUAGACUUUAAAACUACUCACCUUUCAAAUUUUUGCUGAAAAACAUUGCUGGCUGGGCGUGGUACCUCCUCAUGCCUGUAAUCCCAGCACUUUGGGAGGCUGAGGCAGGAGGAUUGCUUGAGCUCAGGAGUUUGAGACCAGCCUGGCCAAUAUGGUGAAACUCUCUUUCUACUAAAAAUACAAAAAUUAGCCAGGUGUGGUUGCACAUGUCCAUAGUCCCAGCUACUCAGAAGGCUGAGGCACGAAAAUUGCUUGAACCUGGGAGGUAGAGGUUGCAGUGAGCUGAGAUUGCACCACUGCACUCCAGCCUGGACAAUAGAUGGAGACUCUGUCUCAAAAAACAAACAAAAAAACCCAGACUGCCAUCAUUACAUAUUCUAUGCAUGUAAUGAACCAUCACAUGUACCUCAUAAACAUAUACAAAUAUUAUUACAUAUCAAUCAAUUUUUUAAAAACAAGAUUGGCAUUAGGAGAAAUACCUAAUGUAGAUGAUGAGCUGAUGGAUGCAGCCAAGCACCAUGGCAUGUGCAUAUCUAAAUAACAAACCCGCCUGUUCCACACAUGUACCCCAGAACUUAAAGUAUAAUAAUAAUUUAAAAAAUUAAAAACAAAACUAAAAAAAAGACAAUUUUCCUUCACUUUAGUUUCAUGAAAGUAUGUGAAUACUCAAUCAUUUUGCAUUCUAGAUCAUUAACUCGAGGUUCCAUCAUGCUCUGCGCACGAACAAAAAGUAAACCACCACAAAACCUUUAUAAAGUGUUCAUUUGACCCAAAAUGUUUCAAGCUUCUAGUUUACGUAUAAUAAAGAAAGCUCCUUUCUAGGAUAUGAUUGAAUUUUAACUUCAUUUCUGUUAAUCCUUACAGGACUUUAAAUCAAGAUUCUUACAUACUUCAGUAAGUAAACGCCUUUGAAUAGGUGACAAGAAUAAAGCACUAAAUACUGAAUUAAACCUAUGGCAAAUAAUAAUAUAGGAAAAUUACAAGGUAUUUUAUUUUUGAUAAUGUAAAAUUUUUAAAAUUUCACAGUCUUCUAAAAUACAGAAUUCUUUAAUAGCUCAGAAAUACCUAUGCUGGGCAAAUGCACAAUUUUGUGGAAUGUGAAUAUAUGUACGUAAUUUCAGAAGAAAAAAUUCAAAGUGAACUAAGUCUGGAAGGUGCUAACGACCAUAUCAUUUCUUAUCACCCCCAUUUCCAGGACAUAUUAUUUGCACAUUCAGAGCUUUCAGAUAUUCUGCAGUAACACAUGAACACAAAACAGUAAUAUACAAGCAUUUAACUCCAGCCUAACAUUUUUCAAGCCUCGUUGACCACAGCGAGCUUCCUGUUAAGAAUCUAAAAUCCCACAUUACCCAGUGAAUCACCAAUUGGAUUCUGAAGUAAUGAUAUAACUAUAUUAUAUUAAUACAUUAUAAAUACAUAACAUUAGUUAUUUUAUUAAAAAGUAAUACAACAUAUCCCUGGGCCAGACACAGUGGCUCAUGCCUGUAAUCCCAGCACUUUGGGAGGCUAAGGUGGAUGGAAAAAACAAGUUUGCUUUUGUUUGUUUUUUUAGAGUCAGGGUCUUGCUGUGUCAUCGAGGCUGGAGUACAGUGGCGUGAUCAUGGCUCACUGCAGCCUCCAACUCCUUGACUCAAGUAACCCUUUGGCCUCAGCUUCCCAAACGGUUGAGACUAUAGGCACACACCACCAAGCCUGACUAAUUUAAAAGAUUAUUAUUAUUUUACAGAGAGAGCCUUGUUAUGUUGUCCAGGCAGUAAAUUCACAAAUAUUCUACUAUUUUAAGUAUAAAGAUUUUAUUAUUUAUAAAAACACUAGUUUAUGCUUUGGGAAGAGCAGAGCAGAGGUUCAGAUAACACCAAAUGGCUCUUUAAGGACGUAAAAUGUGAACUUUGACCUCAGUGAUGUGAGCACUGUGGCUCAGGAGUAGCAAGUUGCUAAAAUGCAGAAGGGAUGGGUAGUACUUCUUGCUUCUCAUGAUGAAUGUUUCUGUAUGUUAAUGACUUGUUGGGUAACUAUUAAGGUACUAGAACUGAUAAAUGUGUACAGGGUCCUCUGCAAUAAAGCUGGUUAUGAAUUUGACCCAGGUGUUUAACAAUUGGGGCUGUUAAGUCUGACCAUACAUCACUGCGAUAGAAUGUGGGCUUUUUCAAGGAUGAAGAUACAAGUCUUAACCACAGUGUAACUUAUAGUUUCCUUAAAAA
Molecule: long non-coding RNA, 5887 nt
Organism: Callithrix jacchus (white-tufted-ear marmoset)
Lineage: Eukaryota; Metazoa; Chordata; Mammalia; Primates; Cebidae
Source: RefSeq, a predicted model, not a curated record